RNAcentral lists this ribosomal RNA (301 nucleotides) under uncultured bacterium. RNAcentral's name for it is "partial 16S ribosomal RNA". It matches the Rfam family "Bacterial small subunit ribosomal RNA", at positions 509 to 807 of the family's 1533-position model. The record is from RNAcentral.
CAGCAGCCGCGGUAAUACGGAGGGGGCUAGCGUUGUUCGGAAUUACCGGGCGUAAAGCGCACGUAGGCGGCUUGGUAAGUUGGAGGUGAAAGCCCAGGGCUCAACCCUGGAAUUGCCUUUAAGACUGCCGAGCUGGAGUACGGUAGAGGCAGAGAGAAUGUCCGGUGGAGCGGUGAAAUGCGUUGAGAUCGGAAAGAAUACCAACGACAAAAGCAUUCUGUUGGGCCGAAACUGACACUGAGAUACGAAAGCUUGGGGAGCAAAUGGGAUUAGAUACCCCUGUAGUCCCUGUCUCUUAUAC